GAAGUCUGUCAGCCUCUUCAGAUGUCACUUGCCCUGUGGUAAGGAAGUGUAGUUGGCAGCUGGUGCAGUGGCAAGAAGAGAAAGGAAGUUCCCCAAGACAGAAACAUCUCGGCAGAUGGAAUUCGCUGUUUCGCCCAGGCUGGAGUGAAGUGGCGCGAUGUGGGCUCACUGCAACCUCCGCCCCCAGGGUUCAAGGGAUUCUCCUGCCUCAGCCACCAUGAUUUAACACUGAGAAGUAGGCAGUCACAGAGAAAAAGUUUGGAAUAGUUCACCAGUGAAGUCAUCUCAACCAGCACAGGGCCUUGACUCCUAACAACAAUCACACGAACUUGGAAGAGGAUCCUUCCCCAGCUGAAACUUCACUUGAGACCUUCUCAUUGGCCAUCAUCGACAUCUGGAUUCAUGAUACAGAGAAACUUGAGUAAUGAUGACAAUAGCAGUCCAGCCUGCAUGGAUGCUGACAUGGAUGCUGUCUCCCAUUCUUACCACUGGAUGUCAAGAACUGCUAGAUGCGAUCCAGCCAGUCUGUACUCGACUCUCAGUUCCAUCUUCUCAACUCACAGUGUCUUCCAAAGUCCAUGCCACACCACAGCCUGGAAGAUCUCCCAAGGCUUUGAAUAACUCACCAGUGAAGUCAUCUUGACCUGGACAGAAAUUGAAUCCUCCCAAGAAUCCCAGGAGCUUGGAAGGGGAUCCUUCCCCAGAUGAGCCUUCCCUUGAAAUCUCUGCCAGGCAUCUGACCCAGAGAAACUGUCAGAGAGGUUAAUCCUAAGAACAGUUACAUAAGCUUGGAAGGAGACCUUUCCCCAGAUGGGCCAUAGCCUGGGCCAUCACCUACAUCUGGACUGAAGAACCAGAGAAACUACUCCAUCAGGAAUCGUUUGGGACCGUGGGUUCUGUUGACACUCACAUUGUGUAAUUAUGUUGCCCACUGCCAACCCUAAAGCCACCAAGGUAGCAGGUUUCAAAUAAUUCAUCAGUGAAUUCUCCUCAACCUGGUCAAUCAUGUGAACUUAGAAGAUGAUUCCUCCCCAGCUGAUCCUCAGGUGAGACCUCAGCCUUGGCCAUCAUCUAUAUCUGGAUUCCUGACCCAGAGAAACUGAAUACACUUUACUGAAUCAUGAAAAGCUGUAAAUAGCUGAAAAGAAAAAUGUGGUCUUGACUCUGAAAAACAACAAAAAGGAUCAGCAACAUUUCAAGCAACAAGUCAUAAAACGAUUACUGUGGUCUUGUAUUAGUUCAGUCCAUGCAGUGAACUUUGUCUGACAUUGGGCCUGCAGUCCUCAUAAACAUACCAGCUAUC
Long non-coding RNA from Homo sapiens (human), 1303 nucleotides. Ensembl annotates it as Prader-Willi region non-protein coding RNA 1. Its record names the gene PWRN1. NCBI's taxonomy places the organism in Eukaryota, Metazoa, Chordata, Mammalia, Primates, Hominidae. The record is from Ensembl.